AAGUGGAGUACUGUUAACCUCUAGGACUUACAUGUGUAGUUCAGAAAUACUGCAGAUGGGUUGUGUUGGCACAUCCCAGAAUAAAUUGGGUUUGGACCACAUAAGAGGUAGUGCUCACGGUCAUCUGAUGUCAACUGAAACCUGGAUUGGCCCGGGAUAUGGAAACCUGUUUUUCUGACUUCAUUGCUGUUUUAUCUCUCCUGAGUUUGACAGCAGGAGACAGUGAAAGGAGAAUUAACACUUUGAUGGUAUGUGUGCAGACAGAAAUUCUGACGACUCAAGACUUGGAAUCCUUUUUCUUUCCUUUCUCUUACCCAGCUCUGAUAUCUCAUAAAUUUAUUUGUGCAUUUUCAUUACUGAGAUGGAAAGUAACAUGAUGCUUAAGACUGUGCAGUUUUGGACACAUUUGCUUGACCAGAGAAACGCC
This 427-nucleotide long non-coding RNA is filed under the name Coturnix japonica (Japanese quail). RNAcentral's name for it is "lncRNA (ENSCJPG00005020016.1)". The record is from RNAcentral. Lineage: Eukaryota; Metazoa; Chordata; Aves; Galliformes; Phasianidae.